RNAcentral lists this ribosomal RNA (200 nucleotides) under uncultured eukaryote. RNAcentral describes it as "partial 18S ribosomal RNA". It matches the Rfam family "Eukaryotic small subunit ribosomal RNA", at positions 588 to 791 of the family's 1831-position model. The record is from RNAcentral.
GCUCCAAUAGCGUAUAUUAAAGUUGUUGCAGUUAAAAAGCUCGUAGUUGGAUUUGUGUAUUUUGAUUGUGGUCUGAAAAUUUCAGCACUGCGUUUCAAAGUACAUUAUUUGUAGCUCGGCGAUCUGGCAUUAAGUUGUUGGGUCGUGCAGACUACAUCGUUUACUGUGAAAAAAUUAGAGUGUUUAAAGCAGGCGUUUGU